CUGGCUCAGAUUGAACGCUGGCGGCAGGCCUAACACAUGCAAGUCGAGCGGUAGAGAGGUGCUUGCACCUCUUGAGAGCGGCGGACGGGUGAGUAAUGCCUAGGAAUCUGCCUGGUAGUGGGGGAUAACGCUCGGAAACGGACGCUAAUACCGCAUACGUCCUACGGGAGAAAGCAGGGGACCUUCGGGCCUUGCGCUAUCAGAUGAGCCUAGGUCGGAUUAGCUAGUUGGUGGGGUAAUGGCUCACCAAGGCGACGAUCCGUAACUGGUCUGAGAGGAUGAUCAGUCACACUGGAACUGAGACACGGUCCAGACUCCUACGGGAGGCAGCAGUGGGGAAUAUUGGACAAUGGGCGAAAGCCUGAUCCAGCCAUGCCGCGUGUGUGAAGAAGGUCUUCGGAUUGUAAAGCACUUUAAGUUGGGA
This 424-nucleotide ribosomal RNA is filed under the name Pseudomonas sp. R-31758. RNAcentral describes it as "bacterial SSU rRNA". It matches the Rfam family "Bacterial small subunit ribosomal RNA", at positions 19 to 445 of the family's 1533-position model. Lineage: Bacteria; Pseudomonadati; Pseudomonadota; Gammaproteobacteria; Pseudomonadales; Pseudomonadaceae. The record is from RNAcentral.